Molecule: ribosomal RNA, 482 nt
Filed under: uncultured bacterium
Lineage: Bacteria
Description: bacterial SSU rRNA
Rfam family: Bacterial small subunit ribosomal RNA
Source: RNAcentral
CUGGCGACGUGCCUAACACAUGCAAGUCGAACGGAGAGGACAUGAAGUAUUUCGGUACGGAAUGCUCUCUUAGUGGCGAACGGGUGAGUAACACGUGGGCAACCUGCCCCAGACUGGGGGAUAACAUUGUGAAAACAGUGCUAAUACCGCAUGACAGGGUUCCGGGCAUCCGGGACCCUUGAAAGGAGAAAUCCGGUCAGGGAUGGGCCCGCGUCCAAUUAGCUAGUUGCGGGGUAACGGCCCACCAAGGCGACGAUUGGUAGCCGAACUGAGAGGUUGAUCGGCCACAUUGGGACUGAGACACGGCCCAGACUCCUACGGGAGGCAGCAGUGGGGAAUAUUGGGCAAUGGGCGAAAAAGCCUGACCCAGCGACGCCGCGUGAAGGAUGAAGGUCUUCGGAUUGUAAACUUCUUUGAUCAGGGAAGAAAGAAAUGACGGUACCUGAAAAACAAGCCACGGCUAACUACGUGCCAGCCGCCGC